UAUCCUGUCUGAAUAUGGGGGGACCAUCCUCCAAGGCUAAAUACUCCUGACUGACCGAUAGUGAACCAGUACCGUGAGGGAAAGGCGAAAAGAACCCCGGCGAGGGGAGUGAAAAAGAACCUGAAACCGUGUACGUACAAGCAGUGGGAGCCUCUUUAUGGGGUGACUGCGUACCUUUUGUAUAAUGGGUCAGCGACUUAUAUUCUGUAGCAAGGUUAACCGAAUAGGGGAGCCGAAGGGAAACCGAGUCUUAACUGGGCGUUAAGUUGCAGGGUAUAGACCCGAAACCCGGUGAUCUAGCCAUGGGCAGGUUGAAGGUUGGGUAACACUAACUGGAGGACCGAACCGACUAAUGUUGAAAAAUUAGCGGAUGACUUGUGGCUGGGGGUGAAAGGCCAAUCAAACCGGGAGAUAGCUGGUUCUCCCCGAAAGCUAUUUAGGUAGCGCCUCGUGAAUUCAUCUCCGGGGGUAGAGCACUGUUUCGGCAAGGGGGUCAUCCCGACUUACCAACCCGAUGCAAACUGCGAAUACCGGAGAAUGUUAUCACGGGAGACACACGGCGGGUGCUAACGUCCGUCGUGAAGAGGGAAACAACCCAGACCGCCAGCUAAGGUCCCAAAGUCAUGGUUAAGUGGGAAACGAUGUGGGAAGGCCCAGACAGCCAGGAUGUUGGCUUAGAAGCAGCCAUCAUUUAAAGAAAGCGUAAUAGCUCACUGGUCGAGUCGGCCUGCGCGGAAGAUGUAACGGGGCUAAACCAUG
This 759-nucleotide ribosomal RNA is filed under the name Escherichia coli. RNAcentral describes it as "partial 23S ribosomal RNA". It matches the Rfam family "Bacterial large subunit ribosomal RNA", at positions 430 to 1191 of the family's 2925-position model. Lineage: Bacteria; Pseudomonadati; Pseudomonadota; Gammaproteobacteria; Enterobacterales; Enterobacteriaceae. The record is from RNAcentral.